GAUGAACGCUGGCGGCGUGCCUAAUACAUGCAAGUCGAGCGAACAGACGAGGAGCUUGCUCCUCUGACGUUAGCGGCGGACGGGUGAGUAACACGUGGAUAACCUACCUAUAAGACUGGGAUAACUUCGGGAAACCGGAGCUAAUACCGGAUAAUAUAUUGAACCGCAUGGUUCAAUAGUGAAAUACGGUUUUGCGGUCACUUAUAGAUGGAUCCGCUCCGCAUUAGCUAGUUGGUAAGGUAACUGCUUACCAAGGCAACGAUGCGUAGCCGACCUGAGAGGGAGAUCGGCCACACUGGAACUGAGACACGGCCCAGACUCCUACGGGAGGCCGCAGUAGGGAAUCUUACGCAAUGCGCGAAAGCUUGACGGAGCAAAGCCGCGUGAGUGAUGAAGGUCUUCGGAUCGUAAAACUAUGUUAUUAGGGAAGAACAAAUGUGUAAGUAACUAUGCACGUCUUGACGGUACCUAAUCAGAAAGCCACGGCUAACUACGUG
Molecule: ribosomal RNA, 497 nt
Filed under: uncultured bacterium
Lineage: Bacteria
Description: partial 16S ribosomal RNA
Rfam family: Bacterial small subunit ribosomal RNA
Source: RNAcentral